Molecule: ribosomal RNA, 346 nt
Filed under: Diomus terminatus
Lineage: Eukaryota; Metazoa; Arthropoda; Insecta; Coleoptera; Coccinellidae
Description: partial 12S ribosomal RNA
Source: RNAcentral
UAAAAAAGUAUUUUUUAAACUAAAUUAUUAAUAGUUAAAUUCUUUAAAGUUAAAAUAUAUGGCGGUAUUUUAGACUUUUCAGAGGAACCUGUUUUUUAAUUGAUACUCCACGAUUAAAAUAACUUAAAUUAGAAAUUUAUAUAUCGUUGUAAUAAAUAUUUUUUUAGAAUUUUAAUAUUUAGGAUUUUUUUUUAAAAAAUAAUUCAAAUCAUGAUGUAGUUUAUAUUUAAGAUUUAAUGGGUUACAAUAUUGAAUAAAUUUGGAUUAUAAAUUUAAAAUUUAUAUGAAAAUGGAUUUGAAAGUAAUAAAAUUUGUAUUUUUUUUAUGAUUUAGCUCUAAAAUAUGU